UUCUUCAGAAAAAAACAAAAGAAAGAGCUCUCAACUCUCUCCCUCAACCCCCAUGGCCGGGCUAGCUCCGGUUGUCGGUCCACCGUGGCGGCCGCCGUACACAGGGGCCGAAAAAUAAAAAAAAAACUAUUUUUAUUUUUAUUUUUUUCAGCUUCCAAGCCUAAAGGCGUCGUUUUUCAUCAGAAACGACGAACCUCGGCAACCCAUGGCAUCGAGAUUCGAAGAGUCAGGUACGGAGGUGUUUGCUAGCACUUGGUGGUGUACAGGCGUGUUGACAUGGAGGUGGAGGCGGCGGCUAGCAUUAGGCAGACCUAGGGUUUCUUCUAGCUGAAAAUGUUUUAGGUUUUGUGGGUUAGGGUUUAGUUUGGGCCUGGGGUUAAUUUCGGUUAGUUUUAGGAUUUGGGUUUUAAAUUUGUUUUGGACUUGGAUAUUUUAUUUAUUUUGAGUUUUAUUCUAUAGAUUGGGCUAGGCCAAAAUUGGCCUAUUACAAGGUGAAUUAAACAUAUUGUAAUAGUUAUUAAUUAAUACAAUUAUGUUAAGUUAUUGA
Long non-coding RNA from Gossypium arboreum, 547 nucleotides. RefSeq lists it as uncharacterized. The record is from RefSeq and is a predicted model, not a curated record. The transcript has 2 exons. Lineage: Eukaryota; Viridiplantae; Streptophyta; Magnoliopsida; Malvales; Malvaceae.